GUCGCUUGUUGUCGAUUGAGAUAAGCCGUAUAAGGGAGGUAACUAGCAUGCUAUAGGUGCUUUGAAGCGAUGGCGUUGAGUCCUCACACGAUUAUUGCCAUAGGGUGGUCGAGUAUAUUUGUCGCCAGCUUCUUCCUGUAUUCCAAUGUCCACAAACACAUGUCUGCUAAGAGGAGGGAUAUCCUGAGACAAAGACGUGAAAGGGCCAGAGAAGAACAAUUGAAACAGAAAGAAUUAGAAAUGCAGACGCAGGCUUCGUGACGGGCUCGGAUAAAAUAUAUCUAAAAUGUUUUAGAUAUGGUGAGGAGCCUGAUAGGAUAACAGCUGUGAUAUAGUAUGAAGAUGGUGUUGACUGGUAUAAAUGUGUGUAGAAAAUAUGUUCACUAGGAAAACUAGUCCGAUGAAAAAUGGCGGAGAGUAUGAUUGGCGACAGAGCACCAUGUUGUUGUUAUGACUACAGCUGACAGUUGAACUAUCAAGUGUUUAUCAUUUGUUUCCGGGUGUGUUUUUGGUGUAUAUGUAUAGAUGGUGUUGAUGUUCCUUCACUUUGAAGGUAUGGCAGAGAAAUCAAAGCACCUGCAGCAAUUUCCUGAAUGUCGACCUGGAGGCAGGAUUCAAGGUUACAUGCAACAAUUUACUUCAAGGAUUUCUCUAGCAUAGCUUUACUGUCAGAGGAGUCCUAUCAAAUAUAUACAUCAAAUAAAUAUUUGUAAGAUG
Long non-coding RNA from Pecten maximus, 717 nucleotides. RefSeq lists it as uncharacterized. The transcript has 2 exons. The record is from RefSeq and is a predicted model, not a curated record. Lineage: Eukaryota; Metazoa; Mollusca; Bivalvia; Pectinida; Pectinidae.